RNAcentral lists this ribosomal RNA (460 nucleotides) under uncultured bacterium. Its description in RNAcentral is "partial 16S ribosomal RNA". It matches the Rfam family "Bacterial small subunit ribosomal RNA", at positions 1 to 447 of the family's 1533-position model. The record is from RNAcentral.
GCCGCGAAUUCGCCCUUAGGGUUUGAUCAUGGCUCAGAUUGAACGCUGGCGGCAGGCCUAACACAUGCAAGUCGAGCGGUAGCACAGGAGAGCUUGCUCUCCGGGUGACGAGCGGCGGACGGGUGAGUAAUGUCUGGGAAACUGCCCGAUGGAGGGGGAUAACCACUGGAAACGGUGGCUAAUACCGCAUAACGUCUACGGACCAAAGAGGGGGACCUUCGGGCCUCUUGCCAUCGGAUGUGCCCAGAUGGGAUUAGCUAGUAGGUGGGGUAACGGCUCACCUAGGCGACGAUCCCUAGCUGGUCUGAGAGGAUGACCAGCCACACUGGAACUGAGACACGGUCCAGACUCCUACGGGAGGCAGCAGUGGGGAAUAUUGCACAAUAGGCGCAGGCCUGAUGCAGCCAUGCCGCGUGUGUGAAGAAGGCCUUCGGGUUGUAAAGCACUUUCAGCGAGGAGG